This 482-nucleotide ribosomal RNA is filed under the name uncultured bacterium. RNAcentral's name for it is "partial 16S ribosomal RNA". It matches the Rfam family "Bacterial small subunit ribosomal RNA", at positions 30 to 507 of the family's 1533-position model. The record is from RNAcentral.
AUUGAACGCUGGCGGCAUGCCUUACACAUGCAAGUCGAACGGUAACGGGCCUUCGGGUGCCGACGAGUGGCGAACGGGUGAGUAAUACAUCGGAACGUGCCCGAUCGUGGGGGAUAACGAGGCGAAAGCUUUGCUAAUACCGCAUACGAUCUACGGAUGAAAGCCGGGGACCGCAAGGCCUUGCGCGGACGGAGCGGCCGAUGGCAGAUUAGGUAGUUGGUGGGAUAAAAGCUUACCAAGCCGACGAUCUGUAGCUGGUCUGAGAGGAUGAUCAGCCACACUGGGACUGAGACACGGCCCAGACUCCUACGGGAGGCAGCAGUGGGGAAUGUUGGACAAUGGGCGCAAGCCUGAUCCAGCCAUGCCGCGUGCAGGAUGAAGGCCUUCGGGUUGUAAACUGCUUUUGUACGGAACGAAAAGCCUUCUUUUAAUACAGGAGGGUCAUGACGGUACCGUAAGAAUAAGCACCGGCUAACUACGUG